Molecule: ribosomal RNA, 710 nt
Filed under: Enterobacter sp. I32.1
Lineage: Bacteria; Pseudomonadati; Pseudomonadota; Gammaproteobacteria; Enterobacterales; Enterobacteriaceae
Description: bacterial SSU rRNA
Rfam family: Bacterial small subunit ribosomal RNA
Source: RNAcentral
UAGCUAAUACCGCAUAACGCUCGCAAGAACCAAAGAGGGGGACCCUCGGGCCUCUUGCCAUCAGAUGUGCCCAGAUGGGAUUAGCUAGUAGUGGGGUAACGGCUCACCUAGGCGACGAUCCCUAGCUGGUCUGAGAGGAUGACCAGCCACACUGGAACUGAGACACGGUCCAGACUCCUACGGGAGGCAGCAGUGGGGAAUAUUGCGACAAUGGGCGCAAGCCUGAUGCAGCCAUGCCGCGUGUAUGAAGAAGGCCUUCGGGUUGUAAAGUACUCUUCAGCGGGGAGGAAGGCGUUGAGGUUAAUAACCUCAGCGAUUGACGUUACCCGCAGAAGAAGCACCGGCUAACUCCGUGCCAGCAGCCGCGGUAAUACGGAGGGUGCAAGCGCUUAAUCGGAAUUACUGGGCGUAAAGCGCACGCAGGCGGUCUGUCAAGUCGGAUAGUGAAAUCCCCGGGCUCAACCUGGGAACUGCAUUCGAAACUGGCAGGCUAGAGUCUUGUAGAGGGGGGUAGAAUUCCAGGUGUAGCGGUGAAAUGCGUAGAGAUCUGGAGGAAUACCGGUGGCGAAGGCGGCCCCCUGGACAAAGACUGACGCUCAGGUGCGAAAGCGUGGGGAGCAAACAGGAUUAGAUACCCUGGUAGUCCACGCCGUAAACGAUGUCGACUUGGAGGUUGUGCCCUUGAGGCGUGGCUUCCGGAGCUAACGCCA